UGAUAAUGACUGCAGGUUUUAUAUCUCAUGAACAGUCGCAAGAUACAAAUCGGUUACAGUGUUUGCAUCGUUUCGGAAAGAUGCAGCGACGGUUCGCUGAGAACAGCGUCUGGACAACGCAGUAUCUUAACUGCUAAACGGAAUAUUCUAAGGAUUAUGCUAAUUGCCUAAUUAGGCUAAAUCUAAAGAUAUUUUAUUCCUAACACUUAUCUUUGAGCUGCACGCCCUUCUUGUUGUUUGACGGUGCAGACCCAUCCCAACCCGAUCCGUGUGCUUCCGGGGGUUUGGAAGAAUGGAAGGUCACCGACCUCCCUCCGCUCUCGCUCUCGCUCUCGUGGGCGUGGACCGGCGGACACGGACGAGACGGAUAUGGGGACGGAUACAUACGGCCGCUGCGGAGGAGUCGUCGCUCGUCGCUCGGCCCGAGAGAAAGCCAAACGUUUGGCACCGCAAGAUCCAGAAAAGGCGACGCGCCGGCGCCACCACGUCGGUGUCAGACUGUCAGCGUUGAUGGCAUGGCACUACGUUUUUCUUUCGGCACGUGUUUGUGGCGGCACCAAAAAUACGCUUUUGGCCCUCUCGGCACCUGUGAGGUGCUG
Molecule: long non-coding RNA, 599 nt
Filed under: Hordeum vulgare
Lineage: Eukaryota; Viridiplantae; Streptophyta; Magnoliopsida; Poales; Poaceae
Description: long non-coding RNA (HVUL_LNC020400)
Source: RNAcentral